Molecule: ribosomal RNA, 720 nt
Filed under: Oxyscelio sp. OSUC 372838
Lineage: Eukaryota; Metazoa; Arthropoda; Insecta; Hymenoptera; Scelionidae
Description: partial 28S ribosomal RNA
Rfam family: Eukaryotic large subunit ribosomal RNA
Source: RNAcentral
AACCCGAAGANCGAAUGAAAAGACUCAACGUCUGCGUUGUUGGCUUCCUUGUGGUUUGCGAUGUUUUUGNCAUUUCUUGUGUCAAAUUCACACUGCCGCUGAGGUAUGUCUGACUACGCCGGCGUGCACUUCUUUUCUAGUAGAACGUCGCGACCCGCUGUGUGUCGGUUUUAAGGGCUAAGAUUGUUGACUGUUCCGCGUCGUUUCACGGCGUACGGUUGCAGGCGCUUGGUUCCCGACCGGUUGCACGGCGGUAUGCACAAGGUAUUGAGCCGCACAUUGAAUGCGUUCAGACUCGUUGCAAGCUUGAUCGUUUUUACCUGGAUGUUCGGACCUGGUGCCGUCCCCGGGAGCGGUUGGCUGUUGGCAAACGAUGUUCUCGAACUGGUUAAAUUUUUNAAAUUUAGACAAUACCGGUCGGCGACGCUAUUGCUUUGGGUACUUUCAGGACCCGUCUUGAAACACGGACCAAGGAGUCUAACAUGUGCGCGAGUCAUUGGGAUAUUAAAACCUAAAGGCGCAUUGAAAGAGAAGAUCGGCCUUGUGUCGAUUGAGGGAGGAUAAGUAAUGUUUAGAUGUUGCUUCGCACUCCCGGGGCGUCUCGUUGUCAUUGCGNCUUGAGGCGCACCCAGAGCGUACACGUUGGGACCCGAAAGAUGGUGGACUAUGCCUGGUCAGGAUGNGGUCAGGGGAGGCCCUGAGGAGGUCCGUUGCGAUUCU